This 392-nucleotide ribosomal RNA is filed under the name uncultured Lactobacillus sp. Its description in RNAcentral is "bacterial SSU rRNA". It matches the Rfam family "Bacterial small subunit ribosomal RNA", at positions 154 to 525 of the family's 1533-position model. The record is from RNAcentral. Lineage: Bacteria; Bacillati; Bacillota; Bacilli; Lactobacillales; Lactobacillaceae.
AAACAGAUGCUAAUACCGGAUAAAAAGCUACUUUCGCAUGAAAGAAAGUUUUAAAAAAGGCGGCGUAAGCUGUCGCUAAAGGAUGGACCUGCGAUGCAUUAGCUAGUUGGUAAGGUAACGGCUUACCAAGGCGAUGAUGCAUAGCCGAGUUGAGAGACUGAUCGGCCACAUUGGGACUGAGACACGGCCCAAAACUCCUACGGGAGGCAGCAGUAGGGAAUUUUCCACAAUGGACGCAAGUCUGAUGGAGCAACGCCGCGUGAGUGAAGAAGGUUUUCGGAUCGUAAAGCUCUGUUGUUGGUGAAGAAGGAUAGAGGUAGUAACUGGCCUUUAUUUGACGGUAAUCAACCAGAAAGUCACGGGCUAACUACGUGCCAGCAGCCGCGGAAAAU